UCCACGCCCUAAACGAUGAACACUAGUCGUCGGGAUGCUAGUCAUCUCGGUGAUGCACUUAACAGAUUAAGUGUUCCGCCUGGGGAGUACGGUCGCAAGAUUAAAACUCAAAGGAAUAAACGGGGGUCCGCACAAGCGGUGGAACAUGUGGUUUAAUUCGACACUACGCGAGGAACCUUACCUAGGUUUGACAUGUAAUCGCUAUCCGCCGAAAUGCGGAGUUUCAAGUUUACUUGGACGGUUACACAGGUGCUGCAUGGCUGUCGUCAGCUCGUGUCGUGAGAUGUUGGGUUAAGUCCUUUAACGAGCGCAACCCUUGCCGUCAGUUGCUAUCCUUUAUUGGAGGCACUCUGGCGGGACUGCCUAGGAAACU
This 373-nucleotide ribosomal RNA is filed under the name uncultured bacterium. RNAcentral's name for it is "bacterial SSU rRNA". It matches the Rfam family "Bacterial small subunit ribosomal RNA", at positions 794 to 1163 of the family's 1533-position model. The record is from RNAcentral.